Molecule: non-coding RNA, 28 nt
Filed under: Mus musculus (house mouse)
Lineage: Eukaryota; Metazoa; Chordata; Mammalia; Rodentia; Muridae
Source: RNAcentral
UCCUCAUUGAGUGCCUCCAUCAGUGUGU